Molecule: non-coding RNA, 1580 nt
Organism: Camellia sinensis
Lineage: Eukaryota; Viridiplantae; Streptophyta; Magnoliopsida; Ericales; Theaceae
Source: RefSeq, a predicted model, not a curated record
UGGUAUUUAUGGCAAACCUCUGUGCAUUUCAGUUUUGGCAACGUGUUUACAAGGUAAAGUAGUUUGUUACACUUGAAUUUCUGGAAGAUUGUCUUUCUCAAUGGAAUUCGAAAAUUUAUUCGUUUGUCUACUUCUUAAAGGAUAAGCUCCGUCUUGAUCAGCUGAAACAACUUUUACACUUUGAUGAGAUGAAAGCUGCACUAUUAUUGGCCCCUGAAGAAGAAUGGUGUUCUUUCCACAAUCUCGUUCAUCCAUCACUAAACCAUGUCGCAGAAAUAUAUGAAGAUAUACUAAAUUCAGUUCACCGCUUUCGACCCAAAUUUCUGGCUACAGCUGAUGGUCUACCAUUGUAUUAUGAGCCUUACGAGUUUCAACAUACAUGUCUUCUCACAUGUCAGAAAAAUGAAAAUACGGACACUAUGGCUGCAGAUGAUGAGCACUCUGAGCUUCCGAAUGAAAAAAGGAAAUGUAAUUUUGUGCCAUUCGUUCCUUCGAGUUACUUUCUGUCACAUGAGGUGGCUGAAAAUUUGGCAACUAUAAUCAAAGAGGUAAGAGUUCAAUGUACAGAACACAUAUCUGGGAACGAAUAUAAAUACGUUAAUGGUGAUGGUCCUCCUGCCCCUUGGGAACCUUCUCUAUGUAAAUUUUUUGUCAAAGGGCUGUGCAACAGGGGCAACCAAUGCUCAUUUUCUCAUUCACUUCAAGCAAAAGAUCUGUCUGCAAGUUCUUCCUUUCUCUCAAGGUAUUUACUUGUCUGGCUCUGAGCUUCUUUGAAGUUUUGUGCUGUGCAAUUUCAGUUGUUUCUAACAUGGUUGAUAGAAUCUUACGAAUCGAGCUUCAAGCAAAAUGAUUUGAUUCAUACAGUGAAUCUUAAAUUGAGUCUAAUGGAGAGAGUUCAACAAAAACUCAAGAUUGAGCUCAAGCAUGCCCAACUCUAUUGAAUGUUUAUGCACCCAAGUUUGAGACUGGUGGAACAUUUUGGCCAUUAGUACAUAGUCCAGCUUUUGUGUUUCUCUACCAGUUCUCACUCUUAUAUUCAAUGACUAUUGCCGGAAACAUUUUCUACCCAUAUUCCAAGCUUAUUCUGCUGAGGAGCUGUCUACAGAACUUUUUCAGAUUUGCAGGGCAAAGUGAUUUUCAAAUAAUUCAUUUCAAAUCUGAGUCUCUCUUUAUUGGAACUCCCAUGAUCUCAAAGGUGCACUCUUUUCUCUUCUUUCUUCACUUCUCUUUAAUGGGUAUUUGAUAGUUUUUGUGCUGUUGUUUUGGAUACUGUGAGUUUCUGUGUUGUUGUUGUAUAAAAAAAUCCUAGAUGUCCAAUUGGAACUGAGAUUGAAGAAUCUACUGUAAUUUAUAGGUUUUUGAUGACGGGUUGUGGAAAUUUUGAAUUUUUGAUUUGGAUAUCAUAUUGUCUCUGUUCUGGUUUUCUACUAGAUUUACUCCUGCAGACUAGCAUCUUAUAGAUUGUGGAUCACCCUUUAUUUUAUUUUUAGAAUUUUAAUAGUUGGGAUUUCACACUUUGAAGAACAGCUCUGUCUCUCUGAAUUUAUAUUGUAUUUAACUACAUAGCAUUUUAUACUAUG